RNAcentral lists this ribosomal RNA (433 nucleotides) under uncultured bacterium. RNAcentral's name for it is "partial 16S ribosomal RNA". It matches the Rfam family "Bacterial small subunit ribosomal RNA", at positions 29 to 507 of the family's 1533-position model. The record is from RNAcentral.
AACGAACGCUGGCGGCAUGCCUAACACAUGCAAGUCGAACGAGACCUUCGGGUCUAGUGGCGCACGGGUGCGUAACGCGUGGGAACCUGCCCUUAGGUUCGGAAUAACUCCCCGAAAGGGGUGCUAAUACCGGAUAAUGUCUUCGGACCAAAGAUUUAUCGCCUUUGGAUGGGCCCGCGUUGGAUUAGCUAGUUGGUAGGGUAAAAGCCUACCAAGGCGACGAUCCAUAGCUGGUCUGAGAGGAUGAUCAGCCACACUGGGACUGAGACACGGCCCAGACUCCUACGGGAGGCAGCAGUGGGGAAUAUUGGACAAUCGGCGAAAGCCUGAUCCAGCAAUGCCGCGUGAGUGAUGAAGGCCUUAGGGUUGUAAAGCUCCUUUACCCGGGAUGAUAAUGACAGUACCGGGAGAAUAAGCUCCGGCUAACUCCGUG